This 551-nucleotide ribosomal RNA is filed under the name uncultured archaeon. RNAcentral describes it as "bacterial SSU rRNA". It matches the Rfam family "Archaeal small subunit ribosomal RNA", at positions 325 to 876 of the family's 1478-position model. The record is from RNAcentral.
ACGGGGUGCAGCAGGCGCGAAAACUUUACAAUGCGGGAAACCGUGAUAAGGGGAUCUCGAGUGCCAGCAUAUAAUGUUGGCUGUCCAGAUGCCUAAAAAGCAUCUGUUAGCAAGGGCCGGGCAAGACCGGUGCCAGCCGCCGCGGUAACACCGGCGGCCCGAGUGGUAACCGCUAUUAUUGGGUCUAAAGGGUCUGUAGCCGGCCAGGUAAGUCCCUUGGGAAAUCUGGCAGCUCAACUGUCAGGCUGCUAGGGGAUACUGUUUGGCUUGGGACCGGGAGAGGUGAGAGGUACCUUGGGGGUAGGGGUGAAAUCUUGUGAUCCUCGAGGGACCACCAGUGGCGAAGGCGUCUCACCAGAACGGGUCCGACGGUAAGGGACGAAAGCUAGGGGCACGAACCGGAUUAGAUACCCGGGUAGUCCUAGCCGUAAACGAUGCUCGCUAGGUGUCAGUCACGGUGCGACCGUGAUUGGUGCCGUAGGGAAGCCGUGAAGCGAGCCACCUGGGAAGUAUGGCCGCAAGGCUGAAACUUAAAGGAAUUGGCGGGGGAG